Molecule: transfer RNA, 64 nt
Filed under: Cerion uva
Lineage: Eukaryota; Metazoa; Mollusca; Gastropoda; Stylommatophora; Cerionidae
Description: tRNA-Arg
Source: RNAcentral
AUUUUAGAAGCGAAAAAUUGCAUUAAGUUUCGGCCUUAAUUUUAGGGAUACUCCCUCUAAAAAG